RNAcentral lists this microRNA (24 nucleotides) under Homo sapiens (human). RNAcentral describes it as "hsa-miR-6766-5p". The record is from miRBase by way of RNAcentral. Lineage: Eukaryota; Metazoa; Chordata; Mammalia; Primates; Hominidae.
CGGGUGGGAGCAGAUCUUAUUGAG